RNAcentral lists this transfer RNA (74 nucleotides) under Ixodes scapularis (black-legged tick). It matches the Rfam family "tRNA". Rfam says of the family: Transfer RNA (tRNA) molecules are approximately 80 nucleotides in length. Their secondary structure includes four short double-helical elements and three loops (D, anti-codon, and T loops). The record is from Rfam by way of RNAcentral. Lineage: Eukaryota; Metazoa; Arthropoda; Arachnida; Ixodida; Ixodidae.
CCCCGGUUAGCUUACUUGGCAGAGCGCUCCACUUGAAAUAGAGAGGUCCCUGGUUCGGAUACCAGGACGAGGCA